UCCUGGUUACAAAAUAGGCAAAGAAAAAUGCGUCGUUAAAACUGGUUGCGAGGAUUAUGGAGGGAAAGAGGCGUGUCAAAAGAAAGGAGAUUUCUUUACUUGCAAUAAUGAAAAAAUAAAUGCCUCUAAAUACACGUGCGACUGCAUUCCUGGAUACAAAAAAGAAAAAGAAAUAUGCAUUGUUAAAACUGGU
This is a non-coding RNA of Parasteatoda tepidariorum (common house spider), 193 nucleotides long. The record is from RefSeq and is a predicted model, not a curated record. NCBI's taxonomy places the organism in Eukaryota, Metazoa, Arthropoda, Arachnida, Araneae, Theridiidae.